RNAcentral lists this long non-coding RNA (6862 nucleotides) under Octopus vulgaris (common octopus). Lineage: Eukaryota; Metazoa; Mollusca; Cephalopoda; Octopoda; Octopodidae. The record is from RNAcentral.
CGACGAAGCAAACGUGUGAAACGGGAGAUAAAUAUCGAUGUGCGUGCCAUCUCUAAUUACAGGAGAUAGAAAUAUCGAUGUGCAUCUUAGAACGACGAUCAAUGUUGGAUUUGUUGUCUUAAAACAAUUAAUUAAUUAACGUCGUGGAUCAUGUUGGGCAAAUUGGUAAGACAUUUUCUUAGCUUUCUAAUAUAGUUAUUUGCCAUUUGGGCAUAACUAAAUCUGUGUACCCCUAGUUAUGCCGUUACUGCUUGGUGAGGGUGGAUGGGGUAUAUAUACAUCUGUUAAACCGUUACUUGUGUACUACUUUUAGUGUUAUAGCCAUUAAUUAUUCACUGUAUUUUAACGUGUAUAAAGAACCCCCCCACUUUUUUUUUUUUUUACCAAAAAUUAGGUUAAAAAGAUAUGGGAGUUUCUUAUACAUGAAUAGUAUUAUAAUCCCUUGCAAAACCUUUCUUCCAAAUAUUAAGCCCCCAAAAUUAGGGGGUUUCUUAUACACGGUGUAUAAUUUCUUUUUAAUACGCUGUUUCAUAGUUUGUCGCUUGACUUGUCUUUGUAACGAACUUGAUGUCAGAAGGAAAGAAAGUUUAUAAUUGAAUCAGUGCAUUUGUCUUUUCUUUAAAACAAAGUUUAAAGUGAUAUUAAACUAGACCUUACAGAUCUUGAAAAUGUUUAUGGCUAUUUGGAUACUACUUAAGAAGAGUGGUCCCGGUGCGCGCACUCGUGCAUCCGCGCUAGCUAGUCGCGACUAGUCGAUGCUUACUUUGUGUUUUUGCUUUAUUUACUUUGUUUUUAAAAAAUUAUUUACUUUGUGUUUUUGUGUUUUAUUUAAUUUGUUUUUAAAAAAUAAUUAACUUUGUGUAAAAAAAUUAUUUUGUGUUUUAUUUACUUUGCUAGGUAGUCGUUGUAGAAUCGACUCGUCACGACUAGCUUGCGCGAGUACGCGAGUGCGCGCACCGGGACCACUCUUCUUAAGUAGUACCGGCUAUUUGUUUUGUUUAUGGUGUGAUCUAUAACAACACCGCCGUUGGUUACAGUUUCCAAUCAACUAUAUAUUCUGGUUUUACUUUUUUUCUCUGGUCGUUCUUUCUUAGAGUAACUAAUUACAACACUUCUGAAGUCAAAUGAAAAACCGAAACGGAAAUAAGAAAAUAAUUUGAUUUGUUUAUACUUUGUAAAAUACUUAGUUUACACUGCGAAAAGGACAUGUGCUUCUUAAAAUUUUGCGUUUGCUUUUACCGUAAACAACAAAGGCUUUCUAGAGAUGUUUAUGUACAUAGUAUAUACAAAAGUAUUUCCUUUUAUAUUGUAUCAUUUUAGGAAAAUAUGGUUAAUUCUUAUUUUCGUGAGGGAUUAAAACGAAAAUAAUAUUUUGAGAGUGAAAAAAAGAAAUCCCCAAAACAAACAGAAGCAACAUAUAUUUAGAUUCUCUCUCUCUCUUUAUAUAUAUAUACGCGAGCGUGUAUAUAUAUACGCUGGCGUGUAUAUAUAUACGCUGGAGUGCGCUUCCACAAGAAUUGGGAAUUUGGGCAGUUAUACAGAUGGUUGCUAAAAAUAUGUAACAAUUUAGCUGCCAACAACGUAGAGAGUACUCUUAACUCAAAGUUAUCUCCGUUCGUUCACCAGCAGAACAGUGUUGAAAGGUAACUAGAGCGUGAAGGUGAUAGAAGAGAGAGUAAAAGAGAUGUGCAAUGAUAGAGAACGGAGUGAGGCUUGUUCAUGAAGCCCUUAAUGUGAACAAAAGGUGGAUAUUGUAAAGUAUUGUGAAGCAAACUUCUUACCACACAAACACUCCUGCACCUGUGUGUGCGUGUGUGUGUGUGUAUACACACGUACAAUACGUAUACAAAUAGUACAGUGGCAGGCAGAGGAAAGGCAUUUUGGGAAGGAAAUGUCAAAAGAAAAGAAACCUUUGGAAAGACAGACCCAAAUUCGAAGUAUUUCAUAGUGAUUUUUGUUUUAUAACAAUACUUUACAAUAUCCAGCUUUUGUUCACAUUAAGGGCUUCAUGAACAAGCCUCACUCCUUCGUUCUCUAUCAUUGCACAUCUUUUUUACUCUUUCUUCUAUCACCUUCACGCUCUAGUUACCUUUCAACACUGUUCUCAUUUUAAAAAUUAUCUCUGGCUAAUCAUUGAGAGGAUGCUGGUGGCACAUAAAAGCACCCACUACACUCUUGGAGUGGUUGGCAUUUGGAAGGGCAUUCAGCUGUAGAAGCUUUGCCAGAUCAGAUUGGUGGCUAGUGCAGCCUUCUGGCUCGCCAGCCCUCAGUCAAACUGUCCAACCCAUGCCGGUAUAGAAAGCGGACGUUAAACAAUGAUGAUGAUGCUAAUGAUAUAUAAUACAUGCAUAUAUAUGUAUACACAUAAUGAGUGUUGUUUUGCGCCUUUUUUGAUAUUGUAUGACAGUUGUAUAUGAGUCCCGAUAUCAUAUGAGCAUGGGUAAGUGGAUAUUAAAUAAUGAUGAUGAUAUAUAUAUGUCUGUCUGUCUAUCAUCUCAUUUAACAUCCAUUGUCCGUGCUGGCAUGGCUUGGAUGGUUUGACCAGGGCUGGCAAGCUGAGGGGCUGCACCAGACUCCAGUCUGAUUUGGCAUGGUUUGUACUGCUGGAUACCCUUCUUAACGCCAACCACUCCAAGAGUGUAAUGGGUGCUUUUACACGGGUGCAAGAUGUGUGACACCAGUUUCUGCCAUGACUAUGAUUUCACUUGGCUUGAUGGGUCUUCUCAAGCAUGGCAUAUCUCCAAGAGUCUUGGUCAUUUGUCAUUGCCUCUGUGUGUGUGUGUGUGUAUACAUACACACACACACAGACGGAGGCACAUGGCCUAGUGGUUAGAGCAGUGGAUUUGUGGCCGAGGGAUCAUGGGUUUGAAUCUUAGACUGGCCAAUGUGUGUGUUUAUGAGCGAAAUGCCUAAGCUCCACGUGGUUCCGGCAGAAGGUAAUGGUGAACUUCUGCUGAUUCUUUUGCAAUAACUUUCUCUCACACUUUCCUCCUGCAUCUUGCAGCUCACCUGUGGCAGGCCGGCGUCCUGUCCAGGUGGGGAACCUAUAUGCCAAUUAAACCGGGAAAACUGGCCUUUAUGAGCCGGGCAUGACUUGAGAAGGAAUGAGCAACAAUAUACACACACACACUGUUUUAAAAUUAAAAGUCAAUAACUGAUGGUUGUCUACAUAGUCGUUUAGUUUAAUUGUAUCUUUACUAUUUCUGUUACACUAAAUACUUCAGAUUUCUUGUUGGAAACAAGCAUCGAAUCACAAAACCACUACAUCUGUAUUGAAAUUUUCCAAAAUAUCAGAUCUGGCGAGUCAACCCAAAGAGAUAGCAGAUUUUUAUCCAGAGUAUUUUUAGUAAAUUAUGUGAAAAUAAUGGAGGCUAUCAUUAUGUCAUUGAUAGCAAGGGUUUCUUUCUUUUAUUAAUCCUUUUGUGUUCAUGUUCCCAAUGAAAUUCACAAUUCUGAGUUUGACUUAAUCUGGUAAAUAAUCGAGAAUUUGGAACAGUUUAGGUGAAGGCAUGUCUGUGUGGUUAAGGAGUUUAGUUUGUAACCACAUGGUUUUGAGUUCAGUCCCACUGUGCAGCACUUUCGGCCAGUGUCUUCAACUGUCACUCCAGCCUGACUAUUGCAUUGUGAAUGAAUUAGCAGCCAGGUGUGUGGUAGCCUGUCAUGUAUAUAUUUCUGUUGUGCUUGUCUACCCUGCCCCAAUGCCUGACUAUUGGUAUUGGUUUGUUUGUGUCCCUCUAACUUAGUAGUUCAGCAAAAGAGGCCAAUAGAAUAAGUACCUGACUUAAAAAUAAGUACUGAGGUCGAUUUGACUAAACCCUCCAAGGCAGUGCUUCAGCAUGUCCAUGAUAAGUGCUGGUGCUACAUAAGAAGCACCCAACACACUCUGUAAAGUGGUUGGCAAUUAAUUAGAAAGGGUAUCCGGUGAUAGAAACCAUACCAAAACUGAUAAAUGGAGCUUGGUCAGCCCUUGUCAAACCAUCCAGCCUAUACCAGUGUGGAAACUAUGUUAGAUGAUGAUGAUGAUGAAAAUUAUUUAGAAAAGUUUGAAUGUAAACAAGAGCACUCAGAGAAUGCAAACCUCCGCCAAGGCAACACCAGCAUCCUCUCAAUGAUUAGCCAGAGAUAAUUUUUAAAAUGAGAAUAUCUGAAAUAAUCUUGACUGCUCUCACAAAUGAGGAUACUAAAAGUGAACCUGAUUGCUCUCAAAAAUUAAAGAAACAGGAAAAAUAAUACAGAAUCCUUGUCUGGUACCAGAUUGAUCCCAAAAUGUAAUCAGUUCAUGCCAAUCACGAGGCCAAACAUCCCUGAAAGUUUCAUCUGAAUCCAUUCAACGGUUCUUGAGAUAUCUUGUCCAUGUACAAACAAACAAGCAUAACUGAAAACAAUACCUCCGUUUUCACUAAGGCAGGGGUAAUAAAUAAGUGGUUUUGUGUCAGAGCAGCAGAGGUGGUUUCAAGCUGAUUGGUAUCAAAAGGGUUAAAAUGUAUAAAUGUAUGUUUCUUGUCUUGUGUUUUACAUAUAAAUUCAUUUUAUUUUUAUGUUAUAUUAUCCAGGUUAGUUUUGCAGUUGGAUUUUAUGUGGGGGCCUAUGCUGACCAAUAUUAUUCUGUAAGUAUUCUGAUUUCUUUCUUUUUGCAUAUGGUUAUUUAGUAAAAUGUAACUAAUAUUUCUUUUACCUGGUGUUAAUAUGUAUUAGAUUAUUUUGUGAACCCAGGUGUUUUGUAUAAAUUGUUGGAUUUAUACACACACACAUGUAUAUCAUCAUCAUUUAAUGUGUGUCUUCCAUGCUGGCAUGGGUUAAAUGGUUUGAUAGGAGCUGGCAAGCCAGAGAGUUGCACCAAUCUCCACUGUCUGCUCUGGCAUGAUUUUUUACAGUGGGGUGCCUUUCUAAAACCAACCACUUUAGAAUGUGGACUGGAUUCUUUUUAUACAGGGUUUUUUGUUACAUCAAUGGGUGAUCCUGAGCAGCUCUGUGUUGCAGUGACAGGGGCCAAAACUCUUACAGAACUAUUUCAUUGCCUAAUGAGACUGUAACUCUUGCAUUAGGAAACUGAUUAUAGCUGAACCCUGAGCACACAAGUGUUUGGCUUAAAAGAUAAAACAAUAUAUAUAUAUGCUAGCAUGGAAAACGGACGCUAAACGAUGAUGAUGAUGAUGAUGAUAUAUUGGCACAGGCAUGACUGUAGUUAGUAGUUUGCUUCUCAUCUACAUAGUUUUGGGUACUUUGUGUAAGCAUCUACUGUAGCCCCAGGCCAACCAGUAACUUGACAGUGGAUUUGGUAGAUGGAAACUGAAAGAAGCCUAUUGUUUGUGUGUGUGGCAUAAGAGGAAUCAAAUACAGCAUGCAAGUGAGAAUACCACAUUGGUUUAGACAUGUGAUGCGUAUGAAUGAAGACAGCUGUAUAAAGAAGUGCCAGUCACUGAAAGUGGAGGGUACCCAUGGAAGAGGGAGACCCAAGAAGACAUGGGACGAAGUGGUAAGGAUGUUGGACCUCACACAAGAAAUGACAAUAGAUUGAGAUGUCUGGCAAUAUGAAGUUCUUGAGAAGAUCUGCCUACGUCAACGAAACUGAGUUCUAGAAGCACUGUGUGUUCCACCCACACAUAAGAGAACUUUUCACACACCCUACCCCAACAAACCAAACUACAUCUCUUCCUUACAUCUCCUUCAUGCACUAUGCUUAUCUCUCACUCCCUAAUCCUGUCCUCAUGGCUCUGUUCACUGUAUCAUUGCUAUCCAGUAGCUCUCCACCUCCAUAUACCCAGGUUUUCAACACACUGCUUGUGCAUUUUUAGCAAUGCUGUAUCACUUAUAUUAUAACCUCCGUACCCCAAGGGUAUGCCCUAGCACUUGCCACCAUCUCUCUCUUCUUUUACUUGACCAUCCCAUUUAUAUUCUGAUCCCCAUCCCUUGUGAGUAUGCUUAGCAUUUUGCCACCAUCUCUCCAAAAUGCCGGGCAUACUCAGUCCACUCUGUGGAGUGGUUGGUGUUAGGAAGGGCAUCUAUCCAUAAAACCCCUGCCAAAACAGACAGAAGCCUGGUGCAGGCUUCUGUCUGGCCAGCUCCUGUCAAACCAUCCAACCCAUGCCAGCAUGGAAGGAGGAUGUUAAACGAUGAUGAUAUUCUGCAAAAACCUGUCUGGGCAUUACCUUACCUGUAGAUGGUGAGGGUUGGCAACAGGUAGAGCACCAGUUGUAGAAAAUCUGCUUCAGUAAACUCCAUCCAACUCAUGCUAGCAUGGAGAACUGGAUGUUAAGAAAAAUGAUAAUGAUGAUGGUAUAUAUUUGUGUGUAGUGUCUUUAACCCUUUAGUGUUCAGAUUAUUCUAUCAAACAUAAUGCUUAUUGAUUCACAUUGAUUUGAAUUAAUCAUGCAUUAUCUCAUAUCUUCAAGAUCUUGAUGGUGUAAUUAUUUAAUGUAGAAUAACAUUGUAGGGUAGAUGUGAGGGCCUGGAUCUGGUCAGUUUGAACAUAAAACAGAUUAAAUAUUUUGGCUGGAUAUGGCCGGUUUAAAUACUAAAGGGUUAAGAAUCAAUUAUUUCAUCAUUGAUGCUUUUUUUUUUUACACUUACAGUUACCAAAACUUCCUGGGCCAAUGGGUUUAUAUGAAAGAAUCAAAGUAGAAUUAGACAAAUACAAGAAAGAUAAGCCUGGACCUGGUAAAAGUUAAUAGAUGUCAGCUUAUUUCAGCACAUUUUACAGAAACUGAUUAACAUGAAAAAACUUACAGAAAAAAAUUGUGAUAUUAAUGAUAUCACAGGAGUUGGUUAAGUUUCUUUUUCCUUUUAAUAAAUUUGAUUUUGUGAUGUUUUCAUAACUGUGAUAUAUAAAAAUAGGAGUAAAUAAAAGGAUUGUUUAAUGAAA